Molecule: ribosomal RNA, 563 nt
Filed under: Serratia marcescens
Lineage: Bacteria; Pseudomonadati; Pseudomonadota; Gammaproteobacteria; Enterobacterales; Yersiniaceae
Description: bacterial SSU rRNA
Rfam family: Bacterial small subunit ribosomal RNA
Source: RNAcentral
CUCUUGACAUCCAGAGAACUUUGCAGAGAUGCUUUGGUGCCUUCGGGAACUCUGAGACAGGUGCUGCAUGGCUGUCGUCAGCUCGUGUUGUGAAAUGUUGGGUUAAGUCCCGCAACGAGCGCAACCCUUAUCCUUUGUUGCCAGCGGUUCGGCCGGGAACUCAAAGGAGACUGCCAGUGAUAAACUGGAGGAAGGUGGGGAUGACGUCAAGUCAUCAUGGCCCUUACGAGUAGGGCUACACACGUGCUACAAUGGCGUAUACAAAGAGAAGCGACCUCGCGAGAGCAAGCGGACCUCAUAAAGUACGUCGUAGUCCGGAUUGGAGUCUGCAACUCGACUCCAUGAAGUCGGAAUCGCUAGUAAUCGUAGAUCAGAAUGCUACGGUGAAUACGUUCCCGGGCCUUGUACACACCGCCCGUCACACCAUGGGAGUGGGUUGCAAAAGAAGUAGGUAGCUUAACCUUCGGGAGGGCGCUUACCACUUUGUGAUUCAUGACUGGGGUGAAGUCGUAACAAGGUAACCGUAGGGGAACCUGCGGUUGGAUCACCUCCUUACCUAAAGA